GAUGAACGCUGGCGGCGUGCCUAAUACAUGCAAGUCGAGCGAACAGACGAGGAGCUUGCUCCUCUGACGUUAGCGGCGGACGGGUGAGUAACACGUGGAUAACCUACCUAUAAGACUGGGAUCACUUCGGGACACCGGAGCUAAUACCGGAUAAUAUAUUGAACCGCAUGGUUCAAUAGUGAAAGACGGUUUUGCUGUCACUUAUAGAUGGAUCCGCGCCGCAUUAGCUAGUUGGUAAGGUAACGGCUUACCAAGGCAACGAUGCGUAGCCGACCUGAGAGGGUGAUCGGCCACACGGGAACUGAGACACGGACCAGACUCCUACGGUAGGCAGCAGUAGGGAAUCGGCCGCAAUGGGCGAAAGCCUGACGGAGCAACGCCGCGUGAGUGAUGGAGGUCUUCGGAGCGGAAAACUCUGUUAUGAGGGAAGAACAAAUGUGGAAGUAGCUAUGGACGGCUUGACGGUACCGAAUCAGAAAGCAACGGCUAACUACGUG
Molecule: ribosomal RNA, 497 nt
Filed under: uncultured bacterium
Lineage: Bacteria
Description: partial 16S ribosomal RNA
Rfam family: Bacterial small subunit ribosomal RNA
Source: RNAcentral